CUGACCGUAAACUAUGCCAACUAGCGAUCCGCCGGUGGAUUUUUAGCCCUGGUGGGAAGCUUCCCGGAAACGAAAGUCUUCCGGUUCCGGGGGAAGUAUGGUUGCAAAGCUGAAACUUAAAGGAAUUGACGGAAGGGCACCACCAGGAGUGGAGCCUGCGGCUUAAUUUGACUCAACACGGGGAAACUCACCCGGCCCGGACACCGUAAGGAUUGACAGAUUGAUAGCUCUUUCAUGAUUCGGUGGUUGGUGGUGCAUGGCCGUUCUUAGUUCGUGGAUCGAUUUGUCUGGUUUAUUCCGAUAACGAGCGAGACUCUAGCCUACUAAAUAGUAACGGAAUUACUAUUGUUCCAGUUGCUUCUUAGAGGGAUUUUCGGUGUUUAGCCGCACGAGAUUGAGCAAUAACAGGUCUGUGAUGCCCUUAGAUGUCCGGGGCUGCACGCGCGCUACACUGGCGAAAUCAGCGUGCUGUAUCCAAUCUCGAAAGGGAUGGGUAAACCCAUGAAAAUUUGCCGUGCUUGGGAUCGGAAAUUGCAAUUAUUUUCCGUGAACGAGGAAUUCCAAGUAAGUGCGAGUCAUCAACUCGCUCUG
RNAcentral lists this ribosomal RNA (591 nucleotides) under Cephalobidae environmental sample. Its description in RNAcentral is "SSU rRNA". It matches the Rfam family "Eukaryotic small subunit ribosomal RNA", at positions 1026 to 1643 of the family's 1831-position model. The record is from RNAcentral. Lineage: Eukaryota; Metazoa; Nematoda; Chromadorea; Rhabditida; Cephalobidae.